CUCUGAUUAUUCAUUUUAACAUUAAUUUAUAUGUAAAUUUUUGUGCUUUGUUUAAUUCUAAAAGGAAUAUGAAUAUGGUUUGCAGUAGAUAGUCUUAUUGAUAUUAAAUCAGUUUGGAUUUAGUGAAUGUUAAGAGGAUUGGAGGAAGCUGUGCCAGCAUCCGCGGUUACACAGCGAAUUCAAAUGAAUAUUAUUGGUUUUGGAGUAAUUACUAUUAAUUGAGAUAUAGAAAACAGGAUAUUUUUGGGUGAAAUAUGAAAUGUCUUUAAAUUAUAUUUAUUAGUAGGAUUGUUAUGAGAGUGAAAUUGUAAACUAGGAUUAGAUACCCUAUUAUUUUUAUUGUGAAUAUUGAAGCCCGAGUAUUAGUAGAUAUGAUCUUGAAACUUAAAGAAUUUGGCGGUAUUAUAGUCUAUUUAGAGGAAUCUGUUAUGUAAUCGAUAGUCCGCGUUGAAUCUUACUUAUAUUAUUUCUUGUAUACCGCUGUUUAUGAAUAUCCUUUAAGGGUAAAUUUUCUUGAUAUUAUAUUUGAUAGAAUUUCAAGUCAAGGUGCAGUAAUAUAUAAGUUGAAUAAUGGAUUACAAUAAAUUGUAUUUAUUAACGGAUAAUUAUUUUGAUAUAAUUUGAAGGUGGAUUUAAUUGUAAUUUUAUGAAGAUUGUUAGGAUGAUUGUAGCUCUAUAAUAUGUACACAUCGCCCGUCACUCUCGUUAUUAAGAUGAGAUAAGUCGUAACAAAAGAUAAGUCGUAACAAAGUAGGUGUAUCGGAAGAUGUACCUAGAAAGAAAAAAGAAAGUUAGGUAUAACUGGAUAUAAUA
This 813-nucleotide non-coding RNA is filed under the name Yersinia mexicana. The record is from RNAcentral. Lineage: Eukaryota; Metazoa; Arthropoda; Insecta; Mantodea; Amelidae.